This 399-nucleotide unclassified non-coding RNA is filed under the name Hevea brasiliensis (rubber tree). The record is from RNAcentral. Lineage: Eukaryota; Viridiplantae; Streptophyta; Magnoliopsida; Malpighiales; Euphorbiaceae.
CUGGUUUCUCUUCUGCUACUUCAACUUGCUUUUCCUUGACCUCAAUAUUUCUCACUUUUGCCCCUUCUGCCGUUUCUUCUAUGCAACAUCCAUUAUGCCACGCUGAUGAGAGCUAUAAAUUGAUGCCAUUCAAGGAGAGUGUUACCAUUCGUACAAACGCUUCAUAUGACCCUAUUGCUUAUCCAAAGGUUGAAUCUUGGAAGCUCCGAGAAGGACAUUUUGACUGCUGCUACUGGGGUGGUGUCCACUGUGAUAAGCGCAGUGGUCACGUGAUUGGCCUUGAUCUCAGCAGUAGUUUUCUCUGUGGUUCCAUCCACGAAAUUCCCUCAUCUAUGGGGAAUCUUACAAGGUUGGAAUCUUUAGAUCUUCUCAAACAAUCUCUUAGGAAGGAUUCCUCAG